RNAcentral lists this transfer RNA (66 nucleotides) under Philophylla fossata. Its description in RNAcentral is "tRNA-Pro". The record is from RNAcentral. Lineage: Eukaryota; Metazoa; Arthropoda; Insecta; Diptera; Tephritidae.
CAGAAGAUAGUUUAUAAAAAUAUUAAUUUUGGAGAUUAAUGAUAAAGAAUUUUUCUUUUCUUUUGA